Eriocheir sinensis (Chinese mitten crab) is the source of this 415-nucleotide long non-coding RNA. RefSeq lists it as uncharacterized. The record is from RefSeq and is a predicted model, not a curated record. NCBI's taxonomy places the organism in Eukaryota, Metazoa, Arthropoda, Malacostraca, Decapoda, Varunidae. The transcript is spliced from 3 exons.
CAGGACGAGGCGGCGAGGCUGAGGGAAGGGCGGCGAGGAGGCGAGGCGCGGGACCUGCCUUUUGCGGCCACGAGGAAGCAUUAUUUUUCUCUUCAUCGCUUUGCUUCACGGACUUCCCUCCUUCAAGUGAGACGGACGUCUUGUGGCACACUCUUGGCUCUACACUUACCCUUCAGGGGGACUGACCCCUUGCUGCCGAGGGAACCAGCGAGGUCUGGGAGUGUGCUCCUGCAGGUGUGGGUCCAGCCGGGCGUCAGUCCUCCACUAAGCUGCUUCUGCAGGUGUUGGGGAGGCACCAGCCAGGCAGCCUUCAGGAGCUGUCAGGGAGAAAGGAAGAAGUCAGCUUUGUGAGGACUGUCAGUGUACUUUGCUCCCCAGGGCUGUAGAUAUUGCAAAUAAAUAAGUAAGGGACGCU